This 252-nucleotide ribosomal RNA is filed under the name uncultured Bacteroidales bacterium. Its description in RNAcentral is "partial 16S ribosomal RNA". It matches the Rfam family "Bacterial small subunit ribosomal RNA", at positions 524 to 776 of the family's 1533-position model. Lineage: Bacteria; Pseudomonadati; Bacteroidota; Bacteroidia; Bacteroidales. The record is from RNAcentral.
UACGGAGGAUGCGGGCGUUAUCCGGAUUCAUUGGGUUUAAAGGGUGCGCAGGCGGGCCUUUAAGCCGGCGGUGAAAUCGCGGGGCUCAACCCCGCCGAGCCGUCGGAACUGGGGGCCUUGAGUGCGGCGGAGGCAUGCGGAAUGCGCGGUGUAGCGGUGAAAUGCAUAGAUAUCGCGCAGAACCCCGAUUGCGAAGGCAGCAUGCCGGCUCCACACUGACGCUGAGGCACGAAAGCGUGGGUAUCGAACAGG